Molecule: long non-coding RNA, 202 nt
Filed under: Chloebia gouldiae (Gouldian finch)
Lineage: Eukaryota; Metazoa; Chordata; Aves; Passeriformes; Passeridae
Description: Erythrura gouldiae (Gouldian finch) lncRNA (ENSEGOG00005008396.1)
Source: RNAcentral
CGACUUCAGAGGAAUUUCUGCCCGAGUGAGCAUUGUGGAUGUUGGCUGAAAGAAAGGAAGACCUCGAAAUUCAGCGCGAAGCUAUGCCUAUUGUGCAAGGCUGGAAGUGAGGUCCACUGAAGGUGUUUGAAUUGUCACUGCAGAAAGGAAGCGUGCAGUCUGUGCCCACAAUAAAAUGGACCUCUCCUGCUGCUAUGGGAAA